Molecule: ribosomal RNA, 2089 nt
Filed under: Deltaproteobacteria bacterium
Lineage: Bacteria; Pseudomonadati; Myxococcota; Myxococcia
Description: partial 23S ribosomal RNA
Rfam family: Bacterial large subunit ribosomal RNA
Source: RNAcentral
GGCUAAGCUACUAAGGGCGAUCGGUGGAUGCCUUGGUAUCAGGAGGCGAUGAAGGACGUAGUUGACUGCGAUAAGCUUCGGGAAGCUGUGUAUAAGCCUAGAUCCGAAGAUUUCCGAAUGGGGCAACCCACGCAUUUUUAUGCGUAUCCAUAACUGAAUUCAUAGGUUAUGGAGGCUAAACUAGGAGAACUGAAACAUCUUAGUAUCCUUGGAAUAGAAAGAAAACUCGAUUCCCCCAGUAGCGGCGAGCGAAAAGGGAAAAGCCCAAACCGGCUGGCUUGCCAGCCGGGGUUGUAGGACCGUUUAGAGUUUACAGCUCGGGAAGUUACCAAUCCCACUUGUAGCCGAAAUGAUCUGGAAAGGUCUUCCAUAGAGGGUGACAGACCUGUAGGCGAAACUAGUGGGACUUCCUGGAACGGCACCUGAGUAGCGCGGGACACGUGAAACCCUGCGUGAAUCUGGGAGGACCAUCUCCUAAGGCUAAAUACUACCUGAUAACCGAUAGUGAACCAGUACCGUGAGGGAAAGGCGAAAAGAACCCCGGAGGGGGAGUGAAAUAGAACCUGAAACCGAUUGCCUACAAGCUGUGGAAGGCCGCAAGGCUAACUGCGUGCAUUUUGCAUAAUGAGUCCGCGAGUUACCGUUAGUGGCGAGGUUAAGCCGAGUUAGGUGGAGCCGAAGCGAAAGCGAGUCUUAAAUGGGCGAUUUAGUCGCUAGCGGUAGACCCGAAACCAGGUGAUCUACCCAUGGCCAGGCUGAAGUUCCGGUAAAACGGAAUGGAGGGCCGAACCGGUUGAAGUUGAAAAUUCUUCGGAUGAGCUGUGGGUAGGAGUGAAAGGCUAAUCAAACCUGGAAAUAGCUGGUUCUCCUCGAAAUGUAUUUUGGUACAGCCUCGAAUGUUUUGUUACGGAGGUAAAGCACUGAAUGGGCUAGGGGUCUUACAAGAUUACCAACCCCAAUCAAACUCUGAAUGCCGUGACAUUAAGUUCGGGAGUGAGUCUCAGGGAGAUAAGUUCCUGGGUCGAAAGGGAAACAACCCAGACCACCGACUAAGGCCCCCAAGUGUAUGCUAAGUGGCAAAGGAUGUUAAAACGCACAGACAACCAGGAGGUUGGCUUAGAAGCAGCCAUCCUUUAAAGAUAGCGUAACAGCUCACUGGUCCAGUGAGUUCGCGCCGAAAAUAAUCGGGGCUAAGCAUACCGCCGAAGUCGUGGGAUCCCUGGAUAGGGAUCGGUAGAGGAGCGUUCUGUGAUAGUUUGCAAGCCAGACCGGAAGGACUGGUGUUGGAUCACAGAAGUGAUUAUGCGGACAUGAGUAGCGAUAAAACAAGUGAAAAACUUGUUCGCCGAAAGCCUAAGGUUUCCUGAGUAAAGGUAAUCUGCUCAGGGUUAGUCGAUCCCUAAGGUCAGGCCGAAAGGCGUAGCUGAUGGGAAUGAGUUUAAUAUUACUCAACCACCGUAAUCCGUCAAAGAACCACAGGGGGGACGGGGUAGUUAGGGUCAGUCAGAGACUGGAUGUUCUGAUUUUAGCCCGUAAGCCGGAGCGCAGGCAAAUCCACGCUCCACAUAGGCUGAGGGGCUAAACGUAAAUGACUUGGUCUACCUCCUAGAAAAGCCUCGGUUGGGAGGAUGAAGGUGAUCGUACCGCAAACCGACACAGGUAGGCUGGUAGAGUAUACUAAGGCGCUUGAGAUAACUCCAGUUAAGGAACUCGGCAAAAUGAUACCGUAACUUCGGGAGAAGGUAUACCUUCUGUUGUGAUUGUCAAAUUGAGCAUCGGAAGGUCGCAGAGAAAUAGGGGUAGCGACUGUUUACUAAAAACAUAGGGCUAUGCAAACUCGUAAGAGGACGUAUAUGGCCUGACGCCUGCCCGGUGCUGGAAGGUUAAGGGGAGAGGUCAUUGGGGUAACCCGAGAAGCUUUGAACCGAAGCCCCAGUAAACGGCGGCCGUAACUAUAACGGUCCUAAGGUAGCGAAAUUCCUUGUCGGGUAAGUUCCGACCCGCACGAAUGGCGUAACGAUUUCCCUACUGUCUCAACAGGAGUCUCAGUGAAAUUGUAUUAGCGGUGAAGAUGCCGUUUACCCGCAGC